CAGCAGCCGCGGUAAUACGUAGGGUGCAAGCGUUAAUCGGAAUUACUGGGCGUAAAGCGUGCGCAGGCGGUUAUAUAAGACAGAUGUGAAAUCCCCGGGCUCAACCUGGGAACUGCAUUUGUGACUGUAUAGCUAGAGUACGGCAGAGGGGGAUGGAAUUCCGCGUGUAGCAGUGAAAUGCGUAGAUAUGCGGAGGAACACCGAUGGCGAAGGCAAUCCCCUGGGCCUGUACUGACGCUCAUGCACGAAAGCGUGGGGAGCAAACAGGAUUAGAUACCCCAUAGUCCCUGUCUCUUAUACA
Molecule: ribosomal RNA, 301 nt
Filed under: uncultured bacterium
Lineage: Bacteria
Description: partial 16S ribosomal RNA
Rfam family: Bacterial small subunit ribosomal RNA
Source: RNAcentral